UACAGAGGUCCCGAGCGUUGUUCGGAUUCACUGGGCGUAAAGGGUGCGUAGGUGGUUGGGCAAGUCUGAUGUGAAAUCUCCGGGCUUAACCCGGAAAUGGCAUUGGAAACUGCCUGGCUAGAGUGUUGGAGGGGGGACUGGAAUUCUCGGUGUAGCAGUGAAAUGCGUAGAUAUCGAGAGGAACACCAGUGGCGAAGGCGAGUCCCUGGACAACGACUGAUACUGAGGCACGAAAGCUAGGGGAGCAAACAGG
This 253-nucleotide ribosomal RNA is filed under the name uncultured bacterium. RNAcentral's name for it is "partial 16S ribosomal RNA". It matches the Rfam family "Bacterial small subunit ribosomal RNA", at positions 524 to 776 of the family's 1533-position model. The record is from RNAcentral.